RNAcentral lists this ribosomal RNA (868 nucleotides) under uncultured organism. RNAcentral describes it as "bacterial SSU rRNA". It matches the Rfam family "Bacterial small subunit ribosomal RNA", at positions 8 to 870 of the family's 1533-position model. The record is from RNAcentral.
AGAGUUUGAUCAUGGCUCAGAUUGAACGCUGGCGGCAGGCUUAACACAUGCAAGUCGAGCGGAGAUGAGGUGCUUGCACCUUAUCUUAGCGGCGGACGGGUGAGUAAUGCUUAGGAAUCUGCCUAUUAGUGGGGGACAACAUUCCGAAAGGAAUGCUAAUACCGCAUACGUCCUACGGGAGAAAGCAGGGGAUCUUCGGACCUUGCGCUAAUAGAUGAGCCUAAGUCGGAUUAGCUAGUUGGUGGGGUAAAGGCCUACCAAGGCGACGAUCUGUAGCGGGUCUGAGAGGAUGAUCCGCCACACUGGGACUGAGACACGGCCCAGACUCCUACGGGAGGCAGCAGUGGGGAAUAUUGGACAAUGGGGGGAACCCUGAUCCAGCCAUGCCGCGUGUGUGAAGAAGGCCUUAUGGUUGUAAAGCACUUUAAGCGAGGAGGAGGCUACUGAGACUAAUACUCUUGGAUAGUGGACGUUACUCGCAGAAUAAGCACCGGCUAACUCUGUGCCAGCAGCCGCGGUAAUACAGAGGGUGCGAGCGUUAAUCGGAUUUACUGGGCGUAAAGCGUGCGUAGGCGGCUUUUUAAGUCGGAUGUGAAAUCCCCGAGCUUAACUUGGGAAUUGCAUUCGAUACUGGGAAGCUAGAGUAUGGGAGAGGAUGGUAGAAUUCCAGGUGUAGCGGUGAAAUGCGUAGAGAUCUGGAGGAAUACCGAUGGCGAAGGCAGCCAUCUGGCCUAAUACUGACGCUGAGGUACGAAAGCAUGGGGAGCAAACAGGAUUAGAUACCCUGGUAGUCCAUGCCGUAAACGAUGUCUACUAGCCGUUGGGGCCUUUGAGGCUUUAGUGGCGCAGCUAACGCGAUAAGUAGACC